AGCGGGAUGGAGCAAGGUGCCUUUUGUCUGAAAAAGUACCCUACAAGUCUGGAGUGCUCGCUGGGCCCAUAACCCAGAGGUCGGUGGUUCAAAUCCACCUCCCGCUA
This 107-nucleotide transfer RNA is filed under the name Candidatus Aenigmatarchaeota archaeon. Its description in RNAcentral is "tRNA-Met". Lineage: Archaea; Nanobdellati; Candidatus Aenigmatarchaeota. The record is from RNAcentral.